Molecule: unclassified non-coding RNA, 202 nt
Filed under: Hevea brasiliensis (rubber tree)
Lineage: Eukaryota; Viridiplantae; Streptophyta; Magnoliopsida; Malpighiales; Euphorbiaceae
Source: RNAcentral
UUGCUUUUGAUUCUUUCCCUUGUUCUACAUCACCACUAUUACUACUACUUCAAUGAGAGUCCAAAGCACUUCAGUAACAUCUAAAACUAUAUUUAAGGGGCAUGAGGGCUCUUUUUAUCGGGUUGGGGAGGACUAAGUAGAAGAUCAAAUUAGUCGGGGAAAAUCACUCGCUCUGAGGUCAGUAUAGCAUCUCAUGGAUUAA